GUCUAUGGCCAUACCACCUUGAAUGUGCCGGAUCUCGUCUGAUCUCGCAAGCUAAGCAGGGUCAGGCCUGGUUAGUACUUGAAUGGGAGAUCACCUAGGAAUAUCAGGUGUCGUAGGUG
RNAcentral lists this ribosomal RNA (119 nucleotides) under Pteropus alecto (black flying fox). Lineage: Eukaryota; Metazoa; Chordata; Mammalia; Chiroptera; Pteropodidae. The record is from RNAcentral.